UUGAAUUUGAUUUAAUAUCAAGUAUAUGUAAUUAAAAUACUUUGUUAAAGCCUUAAACCAAAUGACUUUAAUUGAAAAAAAUUCAAGGUUUUCUUUAUGCUUAGUUUAAAAUUUUAAACUGUAAUAUCACGUGUCUGAAAUUAAAAUUUGAAUUUGAUUUAAUAUCAAGUAUAUGUAAUUAAAAUACUUUGUUAAAGCCCUAAACCAAAUGACUUUGAUUGCAAAAAAUUCAAGGUUUUCUUUAUGCUUAGUUAAACCGAAACCUGGGACCCAACUGACAGCCAGACGGAUCCCGGAUCUGGUGAUCACGGAUCUACACCUUACAUCUGAUAAAUAACGUUAAACUGAAACCUGGAAGAUAAAUUACUGAGAGAAUGACCUCGGAUCCGGCGAACCUCAGAGGAUGUGGCGGACCUCAUAGCUGCACCCCUCAACGAAAAAUAACGUCGUAGAGAACGCCUCCCGAACUGGCGGAAAACGGAGAAAACCCUCAUCGCUGAGAAACCAAGAUGUCUCAAGAUAAUGGGACAACUAUUCUACGUCGUCCCAUCUAAUUUGUUGCCCAAUACAAACGAGCAACAUUUUCACUCUAGAAUCCUAAAGAUAUGAGGAAUAUGAAGAGAUUAAACCAUAAUCUAGUGAGUCUAGUUCCCUGAUAUAUAUUUUUCCCUCUACCGUGUUCAUGCAGCCUAAACGACAAGAGAAACACGAAAGAAAUGAAACUUAAUGUUUCUGAAACAAGUUAUUUUGUAUUAGCAAGGAACCAUCAAUGUUCCGCGCUAGUAUGUUUCUUAAUCACAUAGUUUCUUACCUUUACGUUGGUUAUAAAGCUCCUAAAAUAAUAUGCAGCAAGGAACCAUCAAUUUUCCGCGCUAGAAUGGUUCUUAAUUACAUAGCUUCUUACCUUACGUCGGUUAUAUAACUAUAAGACUACAUAGUUAAAAUAAUUUGCAGCCACACCAACGAAGAACCAUCAAUGUACUUCGUCGGUAGAGCGCUCAAUCUGUAUGUUUUUACAUAGUGUAUGUAGCCUAGAUAUCAACCUUACCUUAAAAAUGUAAAAUGUAGACGCAAACUGAUUCUACAUAACUUGCUCAAAUUAUAUGUAAACGAGACAAUUGUAGAAUAUUCUUAUUAAAUCCACAUAAACCUUUCUCAUCAAUAACAACCUAUUUUAUGCAUGUAAUGUUCCACCACUUCAUUGGUACAUUUCUCAAUUCGUAUGUUUUAAAUAAUCUAAGUAGCAUUGAUACCAAAUUUUAAUUUAAAAAUUAUCCGUAAAUUAACUCCUAUAUAAUUCUCACAAAAUAUAUGUAAACGAGUUUGAUGUA
Eurytemora carolleeae is the source of this 1331-nucleotide long non-coding RNA. RefSeq lists it as uncharacterized. The transcript has 3 exons. The record is from RefSeq and is a predicted model, not a curated record. Lineage: Eukaryota; Metazoa; Arthropoda; Copepoda; Calanoida; Temoridae.